UACAGAGGGGGCAAGCGUUAUUCGGAAUUAUUGGGCGUAAAGGGCGCGUAGGCGGCUUUGCAAGUGACGGGUGAAAUCCCACGGCUUAACCGUGGAACUGCCUGUCAGACUGCAUGGCUUGAGACCAGGAGAGGUGAGUGGAAUUCCCAGUGUAGCGGUGAAAUGCGUAGAUAUCUGGAGGAACACCGGUGGCGAAGGCGGCAUCCUGGACCGACACUGACGCUGAGGAGCGAAAGCCAGGGGAGCAAACGGG
This 253-nucleotide ribosomal RNA is filed under the name uncultured bacterium. Its description in RNAcentral is "partial 16S ribosomal RNA". It matches the Rfam family "Bacterial small subunit ribosomal RNA", at positions 524 to 776 of the family's 1533-position model. The record is from RNAcentral.